CACUGAGUGCCGAAUGCAGAGGGC
This 24-nucleotide non-coding RNA is filed under the name Cricetulus griseus (Chinese hamster). The record is from RNAcentral. Lineage: Eukaryota; Metazoa; Chordata; Mammalia; Rodentia; Cricetidae.